UACGUAGGGGGCAAGCGUUGUCCGGAUUUAUUGGGCGUAAAGAGCUCGUAGGCGGCUCACUAAGUCGGAUGUGAAAACUCCAGGCUCAACCUGGAGACGCCAUUCGAUACUGGUGUGGCUUGAGUUCGGUAGGGGAGCACGGAAUUCCUGGUGUAGCGGUGAAAUGCGCAGAUAUCAGGAAGAACACCAAUGGCGAAGGCAGCUCUCUGGGACGGUACUGACGCUGAGACGCGAAAGCGUGGGGAGCGAACAGG
This 254-nucleotide ribosomal RNA is filed under the name uncultured bacterium. RNAcentral describes it as "partial 16S ribosomal RNA". It matches the Rfam family "Bacterial small subunit ribosomal RNA", at positions 524 to 776 of the family's 1533-position model. The record is from RNAcentral.